AUUGCCAGCACGUAAUGGUGGGAACUCAUGGGAUACUGCCGGGGUCAACUCGGAGGAAGGUGGGGAUGACGUCAAAUCAUCAUGCCCCUUAUGUCUUGGGCUUCACGCAUGCUACAAUGGCCGGUACAAAGGGCUGCAAUACCGUGAGGUGGAGCGAAUCCCAAAAAGCCGGUCCCAGUUCGGAUUGAGGUCUGCAACUCGACCUCAUGAAGUCGGAGUCGCUAGUAAUCGCAGACCAGCAACGCUGCGGUGAAUACGUUCCCGGGUCUUGUACACACCG
Molecule: ribosomal RNA, 280 nt
Filed under: uncultured Microbacterium sp.
Lineage: Bacteria; Bacillati; Actinomycetota; Actinomycetes; Micrococcales; Microbacteriaceae
Description: partial 16S ribosomal RNA
Rfam family: Bacterial small subunit ribosomal RNA
Source: RNAcentral